AUGGAAACGAGAGAUCCCAGACCCAACCUUCAAGGUCUGGUGUCCGAGGAUGACGGUGGUCUGGAGAUGAAGACAGACUCGAACCCUGUGGCAGACCACACAGACAGCCCAUCGGAACCCUGUAGUGAGAAGCCCGAAGAUGAACCCCAAUUCACCCCCCCUGCCCCUGCACUCAUGAGAAGGUACUACGGUGUGAUGGAUGAUGAGGGUGCAGAUGCAGUCUUCGUCACGCCGCCUUCUCCAUCCUACGUGGCUGCUCUGCUGCCAGCAGAGGGCAGCACAGAUGCGAUGGUGACUAAUCCAAGUAUGACCCUUGCAAACGAGGCAUCUGACGCCACAGAGGCUAAAGGUAAUCCAAGUGGCUUAGACUGGCAUGGGGAAGAGCAGUUAAUGGCAGCAUACAACAAGGUGGAUGAAGUGAAAGCAAGUACAGUGCAGACUUCUGACGAGUCUAUGGACACCUUACCUCUGUCCAAAGACAGGGACUCCACUCUACCAAAGGAUCAAGACCAAACAGCCAUGGAAGGCGCAGGUAGUCUGGUGGAAUCGUGGGGGCACCAUCCAGGAGAACAAGAAUCAAGUGCGGAACCAGAGGUCAGUUUGAGGGGAGGACAGGAAAACUUGAAGGAAAGUGAAGCAGAGAAAGACAAAUAUCCGAAACAGGUACCUUCAAGCGUUGACGGAAACUCAUUUAAUGAGACGCAUUUUGACAAUGAAGAAGGCAAAACAACAUCCGGACACAUUUUUGGUCUUGCUGAGGUAGAUUCAAAACUAACGAAAGAAAACAUCGUCUGCGACAGUGUAGAGAAAAAUGACCCAACGAUGACUAAUCUCAGUGUGAGGUGUGAAGAUUUAGAGUCCUGCGGACCACCGGAGGUCUCCGAAUGCAACCCAACCAAGAUGGAGGCAGCAACCAGUCAACCACAGGUACCAGAGAUCUCAACAGAGACUGAAGAGUCUGUUGACACCAGAUCUUUGGAUUAUAACCUCACGAAGUACAACUGGGGGAGGAGGGAGAGUGGAGAAACACAAGUGCCCCGGCUCCCAAUCAUGGAAGGCACUGAAGAGACGGUCACAAAAGGAAGUAGAAGCAGGAGUAUAAGUAUUGAAAUCCUACAAGGAGAGCAACUCCUUCAGCGUCUGCAGCAAGUGCAGCUACGACAGGACGUAUGUACACCAGAGAGCCCUGAUAACACCCAGCAGGUUGUCCAAGAGAGAGAUGUAUUUGGGGCUGAUGAAAGUGAUCUUAAAGGAACAGAAGGGGAUCUGACAGUUGGAGAUAAGAAGGGAGAGAGUAGAUCUCACACUAUUGACGAGGAGGGAGGAAAGAUGAACCUAACGGAAGAAUGGGAGAGGGAAAACAAUGAAAAGAAUGAGAACAAAGACGAAAAGAAAGCCAGGGUGUCUUCGUCAGCAGUGCCUGUUGAGCCUGGGCAUGAAAUGACUGCCAGAGCAGAGGCAGGUGACUCCGAUGACCCCCAUGAAACAUAUUCCGCAGAAAAGUCUUUUCCAUCCACCUGUCACCAGUUCUCAACCGCCGUGACUUCCAUUGAGGAGCAGAUCCAUGAGGCAGCUCAGGAGACGCAGAACCUGCAGAGAGCCGGCGGUCUCUUCAGCCUUGCAGACAAUCCAGAUGUGCUUGAGAUUCCCUUUAAGACCAACAUCUCUCUUGAGCCACUUGCCACCUCAGUCAGCCCAGGUCAGCGCAGUGACUGGCAGUUCUCCGAGCAGAAGAUGCAGAAGGAGAUAAGUCAGGAGAUCCAGAGAGAACUGGUGCUUGUCAACCAAGGGAAGAUCCCAGGAGGGUACAGCAAAGGGGAAGUCCGUCAAUUAAAGCAGACAAAGCUACUGUUUGAGGCUUUCCAGCAGGAGAACCCAGAGGGUCCAACAAGGUACCGGAGAUCCCCUACCUUACUGAAGAAAGGUCACGUUUACCCAUCUGUGUUAGAGCGCACGCGUAGCCUUGAGAUGUUCUCACUCAAAAGUUACCCCGUCUCCAGAACACAUUCCCUCAGGCUGUACAAAUCAACCUCUGACGCAGUUAAAAUCCAUGAAGACUUAAGAUCAAAGAGCCCAACCGGUGGUUCUCGAGACAAAACACGCUUAUUCCCCUACCCCAAACAAGACAUGCAUGUGCGCCUGCACAGAAGCAUGGACUCCAUAAGCAGUGAUACGUCUGCUAUGGAGACUAGGCAAGUGAACGCAACACAAGAAUCUCCCAUCAUCAAACAAAACCCCUUCUACAAGUUGCGACCAGCCCUGGCUCGGCAGCCCGAGGUGGAGAAGGACAUCCGGGAGGCCAAAGAAAGAGAAGAGGAGCUGCGCAGACAGAGAUGCACUCUGUAUGGAGAGAACAGGCAGAGUAGUGAAGACGGAGAAAAGUCACGAUUCACAUCAGCGCACGAACCAGAUGACAGACGACUGUCCAGGGGGAAACUGGAACGGGUUUGGCCGCCGCCGUCCAAAAAAGACCAGGCGAAGUCUGAACAGGCACAGCAGGAGUCUAAAGUUCACAGAGCGGGAAGACAGAAGGCUCCUCUGUGGCAGCGCUGGGAGGCCGGCCUGGUCAACGGGCAGCCUUCAAAGGAAAAGAACUGAUAUUUGCCAUCCUGACGUCUUCGACACUUCAAAUAGAAUAAUCUGCCAUGCUAAAGCAACCCGAGCGCAAGAUUAAUCAGUAUGAUCAAAACCCCGAAGGUAGCUCCAUCGCACAUGCUUCCCGGCUCCCUUUAACUCUGCUUCGUAUCCCUGUCAAAUAUGAUUUUUUUGAUAUCUUUAAACGCUAGCUUCAUCAGCACGUAAAUAAAGCAAAAGUGCGGCUUCGAUCAGUCUCUCCGACCCUUUUUUCUCUUUCAGUCUCUAUCGGCCAGGUAAUGUAAACCAAACUGGUGGCGUUACUUCAAGUCCAACAGUUUAAGAGGUUUAAUGGAAUGUCAACUUUCAAUAUACUGUUCAACAAUUUGGC
Molecule: long non-coding RNA, 2965 nt
Filed under: Sparus aurata (gilthead seabream)
Lineage: Eukaryota; Metazoa; Chordata; Actinopteri; Spariformes; Sparidae
Description: lncRNA (ENSSAUG00010023055.1)
Source: RNAcentral